Molecule: ribosomal RNA, 490 nt
Filed under: uncultured bacterium
Lineage: Bacteria
Description: bacterial SSU rRNA
Rfam family: Bacterial small subunit ribosomal RNA
Source: RNAcentral
GGUUGUAAACUGCUUGUAUAAGGGAAAAAAGUGAACCUCGUGAGGCUUUUUUAUUGUUUUUUAGGAAUAAGGACCGGUUAAUUCUUUUCUAGCAGCCGCGGUAAUACGGAAGGUCCGGGCGUUAUCCGGAUUUAUUGGGUUUAAAGGGAGCGUAGGCCGGAGAUUAAGCGUGUUGUGAAAUGUAGACGCUCAACGUCUGAACUGCAGCGCGAACUGGGUUUCCUUGAGUACGCACAAAGUGGGCGGAAUUCGUGGUGUAGUCGGUGAAAUGCUUAGAUAUCAUGAAGAACUCCGAUUGCGAAGGCAGCUCACUGGAGCGCAACUGACGCUGAAGCUCGAAAGUGCGGGUAUCGAACAGGAUUAGAUACCCUGGUAGUCCGCACGGUAAACGAUGGAUGCCCCGCUGUUGGUCUGAAUAGGUCAGCGGCCAAGCGAAAGCAUUAAGCAUCCCACCUGGGGAGUACGCCGGCAACGGUGAAACUCAAAGGAA